UGUUCUCUUCUGUCUGUGUCGUCAACAUUUGAACAUUUUUGAGCGGUCCGCUCUUUCUGACUGUAAACAAAGCCGUUCUCCACCUCCUCUAACCUGAUUGGUUGUGAGGCAGACGCUGCUCCCCCGUGUCGUUCAGGAGCCCAAACAAAGUUAGCGUGCUACAAUAUCGGACAGUAGAAACCAACCAGAAAGUUCGGAAAAUUGUCUGAAUCCUCCUUUGGCCACGACUGCCGACACAAGCAAGAAAACACUCAAACAUAAACAGUCAGCAAGAAAAGAGUCAGCAAGAAAACAGUCAAUACCAAAACAGUCAAUACCAAACCGGUCAACAGGAAAACGGUCAACACCAAAACAGUCAACAAAAAACAGUCAGCAAGAAAACAGUCAACAAGAUAACAGUCAACACCAAACCAGUCAACACCAAAACAGUCAACAAGAAAACAGUCAGCAAGAAAACGUCAACCAUAAUCAGUCAACAAGAAAACAGUCAGCAAGAAAACAGUCAGCAAGAAAACAGUCAACAGGAAAACAGUCAGCAAGAAAACAGUCAACAAGAAAACAGUCAACAAGAAAACAGUCAACAAGAAAACAGUCAACAAGAAAACAGUCAGCAAGAAAACGUCAACCAUAAUCAGUCAACAAGAAAACAGUCAGCAAGAAAACAGUCAACAGGAAAACAGUCAGCAAGAAAACAGUCAACAAGAAAACAGUCAGCAAGAAAACAGUCAACAGGAAAACAGUCAACAAGAAAACAGUCAACAAGAAAACUGUCAGCAAGAAAACAGUCAACAAGAUAACAGUCAACCACAAUCAACAAGAAAACAGUCAGCAAGAAAACGUCAACUAUAAUCAGUCAACAAGAAAACAGUCAGCAAGAAAACAGUCAGCAAGAAAACA
Molecule: long non-coding RNA, 897 nt
Filed under: Xyrichtys novacula (pearly razorfish)
Lineage: Eukaryota; Metazoa; Chordata; Actinopteri; Labriformes; Labridae
Source: RNAcentral